UACGUAGGGUGCGAGCGUUAAUCGGAAUUACUGGGCGUAAAGCGUGCGCAGGCGGUUCGUUGUGUCGGCGGUGAAAGCCCCGGGCUCAACCUGGGAAUGGCCGUUGAAACUGGCGAACUGGAGUGUGGCAGAGGGGGGUGGAAUUCCGCGUGUAGCAGUGAAAUGCGUAGAGAUACGGAGGAACACCGAUGGCGAAGGCAGCCCCCUGGGCUGACACUGACGCUCAGGCACGAAAGCGUGGGGAGCAAACAGG
RNAcentral lists this ribosomal RNA (253 nucleotides) under uncultured bacterium. RNAcentral's name for it is "partial 16S ribosomal RNA". It matches the Rfam family "Bacterial small subunit ribosomal RNA", at positions 524 to 776 of the family's 1533-position model. The record is from RNAcentral.